This 22-nucleotide microRNA is filed under the name Mus musculus (house mouse). RNAcentral's name for it is "mmu-miR-467b-3p". Its record names the gene mmu-miR-467b-3p. The record is from miRBase by way of RNAcentral. Lineage: Eukaryota; Metazoa; Chordata; Mammalia; Rodentia; Muridae.
AUAUACAUACACACACCAACAC